GUAGGGAAUAUUAGAAAUGGACGAAAGUCUGAUCUAGCAACACCGCGUGUGCGAAGAAGGCCUUCGGGUCGUAAAGCACUUUUUGGAAGGAAUAGGAAGGAAUGUACUUCCAGAAUAAGUCUCGGCUAACUACGUGCCAGCAGCCGCGGUAACACGUAGGAGGCGAACGUUAUCCGGAUUUACUGGGCGUAAAGCGCGUGUAGGUGGUUCUGUAAGUAGGGCGUGAAAGCUCCCGGCUCAACUGGGAGAGGCCGUUCUAAACUGCAGAGCUAGAGGAUGGUAGAGGGAGGUGGAAUUCCAGGUGUAGCGGUGGAAUGCGCAGAUAUCUGGAGGAACACCAGUGGCGAAGGCGGCCUCCUGGACCAUUCCUGACACUCAGACGCGAAAGCUAGGGUAGCAAACGGGAUUAGAAACCCGAGUAGUCC
RNAcentral lists this ribosomal RNA (425 nucleotides) under uncultured bacterium. RNAcentral's name for it is "bacterial SSU rRNA". It matches the Rfam family "Bacterial small subunit ribosomal RNA", at positions 354 to 796 of the family's 1533-position model. The record is from RNAcentral.